RNAcentral lists this long non-coding RNA (471 nucleotides) under Trifolium pratense (red clover). RNAcentral describes it as "long non-coding RNA (TPRA_LNC005923)". Lineage: Eukaryota; Viridiplantae; Streptophyta; Magnoliopsida; Fabales; Fabaceae. The record is from RNAcentral.
GACCUUAUAAAAAAUAAAUAAAUAAGUUAAAUAUUUAAGGCCAAGGGUUGAACUUUAGUUUUAAUAAUUUAAGGUCUCAAGUUUAACAAUUAAAUUAAAAAUUUACUUAAAAUUUAAAUAUCAUAUUUUAUAUUUAUAAAUAAAUGAAACUUUUUUAUGCUUACUUCAGAUUAAAUUGUAGUUCUCUCAACCCUGUAGUUCUUUUGCUACCUACCUUUUCUUCCUUUACUGGCCGUGUGCUAUUUCUAAUAUUAGGGGUUGGUUUUCAUCUUUUUCAUACUCAUCUCUUUACGUGGAGAUAGUAGUCUCUUUUGAUUAUUUACUAUGUUGGUUAGGCUCUGUACCUUUAAUUUUACCACACAGCAUGGAGUCCUUUUUUUUUUUAAUGGCAAAUAUAUAUAUAAAAUAACGGAAGUCAAAUAGAAUUAGAGUUAUGGGUUCGGACCCGUCAUUUCAUCUUGUGUAUGUGAG